UACCAAACCCAAUCAAACUCCGAAUACCGAAUACAUGUUGUGCAGCAGUGAGGCUAUGGGAGAUAAGUUUCAUAGCCGAGAGGGAAACAACCCAGAUCAUCAGCUAAGGACCCAAAGUUGAUACUAAGUGAUAAAGGAUGUGGAAUCGCCCAGACAGCUAGGAGGUUGGGGUAGAAGCAGCCAUGCUUUAAAGAAAGCGUAAUAGCUCACUAGUCAAGGGGUUCUGCGCCGAUAAUUUCCGGGACUAAGUAUCAUACCGAAGCUAUGGGAUUCAUUCGAUUUGAAUGAAUCGGUAGACGAGCGUUCUAUUAACCUGUGAAGGUUGACCCGUGAGGGCAGCUGGAGGAGAUAGAAAUGAGUAUGCUGGAAUGAGUAGCGAUAAAGCCCGUGAAAUCCGGGCUCGCCGUAAGCCCAAGGUUUCCUGAGUAAAGUAAAUCUGCUCAGGGUUAGUCGGAACCUAAGUCGAGGCCGAAAGGCGUAGACGAUGGAUAGCAGGUCAACAUUCCUGCGCUACCUUAAUCGUUGUCCGAUGGAGGGACGGCGUCCAAAAAACUUAACGGGUGAUAGAAUACCCGUGUGCCAGACUGAGCUGGGGAGUUUAAACACUCCCGGAAAGCAAGGGAAAUGGCAGCAUCCCGAUUAUGUUGGAGAACUAGGUUGGAAGGACGUCCAAGAAAAGCUUCUAAGGCAGAUUAAGGUAACCGUACUAAAACUGACACAGGUAGGCGAGUCGAGCAGACUAAGGCGCUCGGGAGAACGGUGGUUAAGGAACUCUGCAAAAUGGCCCCGUAAGUUCGCGAUAAGGGGUGCCGAUGGAGGUGAGAGCGUCCGGCGGCCACAGAAAAUCGGCUCCUGCGACUGUUUAUCAAAAACACAGGACUCUGCCAACUCGUAAGAGGACGUAUAGAGUCUGACGCCUGCCCGGUGCCGGUAGGUUAAGGAAGACGGUUAUCCCAUUAGGGAGAAGCUGGCGACCGAAGCCCCGGUAAACGGCGGCCGUAACUAUAACGGUCCUAAGGUAGCGAAAUUCCUUGUCGGGUAAGUUCCGACCUGCACGAAUGGCGUAACGAUGGCCACACUGUCUCCACCAGAGACUCAGUGAAAUUGAAAUAGCUGUGAAGAUGCAGUUUAAACGCGGCAAGACGGAAAGACCCCGUGCACCUUUACUACAGCUUUACAUUGGACUUUGAACCUGUUUGCGCAGGAUAGGUGGGAGGCUUUGAAGCAUAUGCGCUAGCGUAUGUGGAGCCAACCUUGAGAUACCACCCUGAUAGUUUUGAAGUUCUAACCUAGGUCCGUAAUCCGGAUCAGGGACAUUGUAUGGUGGGUAGUUUGACUGGGGCGGUCUCCUCCUAAGACGUAACGGAGGAGCACAAAGGUUCCCUCAGCGCGGCCGGCCAUCGCGUCACGAGUCACAGGGCAUAAGGGAGACUAACCACGAACACAACCGUUCGAGAACGAGCGGACGCAGGGAGUAUAUCUACGGUGGACCGAAAAGUAAGGACACACGCCCACAGUCCCAACGGCGCCGACAC
RNAcentral lists this ribosomal RNA (1535 nucleotides) under marine sediment metagenome. Its description in RNAcentral is "bacterial LSU rRNA". It matches the Rfam family "Bacterial large subunit ribosomal RNA", at positions 937 to 2450 of the family's 2925-position model. The record is from RNAcentral.